UUUAAACUGCACGGUUUAAGAGCAUGGUCCGCAUUAAAAAAAAUAUAAGGGUGCCCUCACUUGAGAAUAAUUAUAUAUUAGUUCUUAUCUAGUACAGGCACCCUUAUUUUUUUUUCAUAUGGGCACGCUUUUAAAUCAUAGGGUUUAAAAGAGUUAGUUUUUAACUCCUAUAAACCGAACAACUUUAUAAUUCAUUAAAAAAAAUCUCUUAAAUGACACGGUUUAAGAGCGUGUCUGCAUUAAAAAAAAUGAGCGUGUUAGCACCUAAGAACAAUUAUAUAUAAAUAUAUAUUAAACAAAUAUUAAUAGCGUGUGAUAAAUAUAAUCUUUACAUAUGAUUUUGAUAAAAAUAACAAACAUAUUAUAGGUGUUUAUUCAUACGUAUGUGAGAGAAAAUUAACUUUUACUUCCAAACUAUUGUGACAAAUAUUUAUUAAACAUUUAAAUAUUAUAUCUUUUAAGUUACAGCUUUUCAACUGCAACACCAAUCAUAUCAUAUCUUUAAGUUUCUUCAAUCACAACUCAAUCAAACUAUGAAGUAAAAGACUCUUUGAAUAAUUGAAUAUCAUACGACCCCUUUUGGGUUGUACUAUUUUAUAUGAUAAUGAUGUUUUCUCCUAUUACCUUGUCACCCUUUUGUUUUCUUUUAAGCUCAACAACCGGAAAAUUCUAUGAAAGGGUGUCAUUACGUACAAAAUGGGGUGCCCGGCCUAUUUAGGUCCACCUCUGAUUACCUGUUUGUGUGGGUUACUACCAUACAGAUAAUGUUAAUUACCUAUUUGUGAGGGUUAGUACCUUAAAGAUUAUGUUAUGAAAGCCAAGCUUUGGGCUAAAGUUAGUUCAAACGUCAAGGGUCACUAGGAUUUUCGGUUCAUGAUGACUAUAAUUGUUAGGCUUAAAAGAAGAAAAACAAUUUUUUUUUUUAAAUAAAUCAUUCGUAUAGUACUAACCUUCAAUUACGAUUUACUAAUAAAGAACUUGUAUUAAGAAAAAUAAGAUCAUCAGUAGCAUAUGUCUAAUCAGUAAUCGAAAUGGAUUGAAAUAAAAAUCCGACCAAAUUAUUUAUUUGUACUACAUGAAUUAGAAUAAGAAUAAUUUGUGUUCUCAUUAAUGAGUUUUUUUUUUUGGGAAUCGAAAUCAAAAUUGUUACAAUUUAUUAAAAAGCACUUAGUUAACUAUUGUCAUCAUUAUUAGUCAUUAUAUUAACAAUAAUACUAAUACUUGCUUAGUCAAAAUAAUUAGUUUGUAACACAAUUGAUUGUCAAAUGAUGUGUACUAAAUGAUUGAUUCAAAUGAUAGAUAAUUAAUAUGAUCUUUGGUCUGUUCACAGACAAUUAAUUCUUUUUGAGCAAUUUGCUUGUUUAUAUUUUAAGCACCAUCUAAAGCAAGGCCAUGAUCUUUAUUUUCUUCAUUUCUACAUAACAAUAUUUUUUUAACCAAAUGGUCUACUACGCUUCAGGCAUGCCGUAGACAAUUCCUCGAUAUUGGAUUUUCAUGUCGCUUCAAGGGCUAGUGUCUCCUCAGGGACUUCCAUUGCUCCAAGGACUUACGUCUCUUUAUGGAUUUUCAACACUUCAAAGAGUUGUAUCUGUUGGAUUUUUAAUCCAAUAAUGUUGGAUCCUUAAUCCAACGUUGAGCUUAUUUGUGAAUAAUUAUGUGUUGUGGACUGUCAUAUAAGGUUAAGCUCAAUUAAAAGUGAUCUAUUUAGGUUUUCAGUAUUAUGGGCUUUAAUGUAUCUAAUAAGGUGUUAGCUUUUAAUGCGUAGAGACUCAAUAAUAUUAUAAUUCUAUGACGGGCAGAAUUAAAAAUACCCAGUGACAAUAGGAAAAUGUUGUCUAUAUAAGUGGCUGGUCCCCAUGUCACACAUAUCUUUUUAUUCUUUCUGAAAUCUCAUUGUCAGAGAGAGACCCUGAGAAAAACUUAAAGGAUUCUCUAAGAGAACAUAUAGAUCUGGAAGGCCAACCACACAACCCUAUAGAGGAAUUAACCGUUAUGGAUUCAUGUACACUUAAGCAUAAUUUUAUUAUUAAUUCUUGGUGAUACAACAUAAAUGUUCAUGUGUUAUAAUUGAUGGUUUUCACCAAAGGUUUUCUUGCCCCAACAGUAUCACUUAAGAGACACAUAUUUCUUUGGAGACUUUUUUUUCUUUAGAAACUUCUAUCUCUCUGGAGACUUUGUCUCUUCUAGGACAUGUUCAUAUAGGACAUGUCUCUUUAGAGACGUCUUUACUAUGACCAUUAGUUCAUUUGGAACCAGUGAUUAAUGGGAAUUUUAAUUGCUCGAGCAUUAUUUGCAACAGAAUCUUCUUUUGAGGAAUUGUAUUUUUAGAAACAAGUGAUUUGCCACACUUUUGACAUGUAGCAGACGUUUCAUUAUCUAUCUUUACACUUGAUUAUUCGAUAGGAACAAUCACCUUAGUUAAUGUAAUAACAUCUCUAAUAUGUAACUUGGUUACGUUUUCUGCAUUUAGUAAUGCAUCAAGUGAUUGAUUUGCAAUUUUGUUGUAAAUGAACUAUCUUUCAUAGUUCAUUUUCACAUUGACUGGUACAAAGAUCUAAAUAAAACAUAAUAAAGAAAUAAAUGUAUUGAGAUAUAUUGUGCCUUAAGGUUAUCUUAGGUGCUAAUUAACUUAGUUCUUGUGUGGUAUUGAGGUAUUGUGCUUUUUCAGGUGUUGUAGAAAAAAAUUAUAGUUAAGAAAUAAAAAUUGAUAGUGCAUUUAAUUAGGACUUUUAAAAAAUAAUUUUAAUAAAAACAGUAAAUAUGUUAUAGGUUUUCAUUGUAUAAAUGUGAGAAAAAAUCAACUUAUUAUUUAUUCCCAACUAUAAUAAUAAGUAUUUACCAAAUAUUUGGCCGAGAAGGCCUCAAAGUCUUCGUCAACCACAGCUUUCAUCCAACUGUAUUAUUUUUGUUGCCUCUUGAGGGCUUUGUUGUGGUGCUAAUUGACUUGAAGUCUUCGAUCAUCAGCCACAUAAUCCCAAUAUGACCUAAAAGACUUCUGUUGUAUGAUAAAGAUGUUUCUUCAAUUAUUUCGCCUCCCUUUUGUUUUCUUUUAAGCUCAAAAGCCAGAAAAUUCUUGGAAAAGCUUGUGAUUGGUGAACUUUUGUCCACACGUGAGGGCUCUUUAGGGAAUUUCGUUUGAUGAUGACUAUUGUUAAGCAUAAAAGAAGACUAGAAAUCAUUCGUAAUAGUUAGGAUAGUUUACUAACCUUCGUUUACAAAUUUUAAUAAUAUAAAGGGUAAAAGCUCAUUUAGUCCAUGUAUUUUAAGAUUAGUGUCCAUUUAGUCCCUGUAUUUUAAAAAAUACCUCGAAAUAUUCCUGUUGUUAAAGUAUUGAUACCCCUACUGUUACUUUUUAUUUCUUUUGGCUUACUUUUAUAAUAUUACCCUUUUAUAAUAAUUUUUUUGUUUGGACAUUAAUAAAAAGAAAAUAAUUAAAUUACCAAUU
This 3445-nucleotide long non-coding RNA is filed under the name Citrus x clementina. RNAcentral's name for it is "Citrus clementina (C. clementina) long non-coding RNA (CCLE_LNC003556)". The record is from RNAcentral. Lineage: Eukaryota; Viridiplantae; Streptophyta; Magnoliopsida; Sapindales; Rutaceae.